Molecule: ribosomal RNA, 467 nt
Filed under: Acanthamoeba sp.
Lineage: Eukaryota; Discosea; Longamoebia; Acanthamoebidae
Description: SSU rRNA
Rfam family: Eukaryotic small subunit ribosomal RNA
Source: RNAcentral
GGCCCAGAUCGUUUACCGUGAAAAAAUUAGAGUGUUCAAAGCAGGCAGAUCCAAUUUUCUGCCACCGAAUACAUUAGCAUGGGAUAAUGGAAUAGGACCCUGUCCUCCUAUUUUCAGUUGGUUUUGGCAGCGCGAGGACUAGGGUAAUGAUUAAUAGGGAUAGUUGGGGGCAUUAAUAUUUAAUUGUCAGAGGUGAAAUUCUUGGAUUUAUGAAAGAUUAACUUCUGCGAAAGCAUCUGCCAAGGAUGUUUUCAUUAAUCAAGAACGAAAGUUAGGGGAUCGAAGACGAUCAGAUACCGUCGUAGUCUUAACCAUAAGCGAUGCCGACCAGCGAUUAGGAGACGUUGAAUACAAAACACCACCAUCGGUGCGGUCGUCCUUGGCGUCUCGGUCCUUCACGGGGCCGGGGCGCGGGGGUGGCUUAGCCCGGUGGCACCGGUGAAUGACUCCCCUAGCAGCUUGUGAGA